UCGGGAAUUUUGGGCAAUGGGCGCAAGCCUGAUCCAGCCAUGCCGCGUGCAGGAUGACGGUCCUAUGGAUUGUAAACUGCUUUUUGUACAGGAAGAAACAGUUCUACGUGUAGAACCUUGACGGUACUGUAAGAAUAAGGAUCGGCUAACUCCGUGCCAGCAGCCGCGGUAAUACGGAGGAUCCAAGCGUUAUCCGGAAUCAUUGGGUUUAAAGGGUCCGUAGGCGGUUAGAUAAGUCAGUGGUGAAAGCCCAUCGCUCAACGGUGGAACGGCCAUUGAUACUGUCUGACUUGAAUUAUUAGGAAGUAACUAGAAUAUGUAGUGUAGCGGUGAAAUGCUUAGAGAUUACAUGGAAUACCAAUUGCGAAGGCAGGUUACUACUAAUGGAUUGACGCUGAUGGACGAAAGCGUGGGUAGCGAACAGGAUUAGAUACCCACGUAGUCCCUGAGCGGGCUGGCAAGGCGCAU
This 468-nucleotide ribosomal RNA is filed under the name uncultured bacterium. RNAcentral's name for it is "bacterial SSU rRNA". It matches the Rfam family "Bacterial small subunit ribosomal RNA", at positions 355 to 825 of the family's 1533-position model. The record is from RNAcentral.